AGAGUUUGAUCAUGGCUCAGGACGAACGCUGGCGGCGUGCCUAAUACAUGCAAGUCGAGCGAAUCUUUGGGAGCUUGCUCCCAUUGGUUAGCGGCGGACGGGUGAGUAACACGUGGGCAACCUGCCUGUAAGACUGGGAUAACGCUUGGAAACGAGUGCUAAUACCGGAUAGUCUGCUUGGUCGCAUGACCGAGUAGGGG
Molecule: ribosomal RNA, 200 nt
Filed under: uncultured bacterium
Lineage: Bacteria
Description: partial 16S ribosomal RNA
Rfam family: Bacterial small subunit ribosomal RNA
Source: RNAcentral